Molecule: RNA transcript, 2231 nt
Organism: Manihot esculenta (cassava)
Lineage: Eukaryota; Viridiplantae; Streptophyta; Magnoliopsida; Malpighiales; Euphorbiaceae
Gene name: thaumatin-like protein 1b
Exons: 4
Source: RefSeq, a predicted model, not a curated record
GCUCUUCAUUUUCUUCUCUUCCUCCCGUUCUGCCACUCCGUCGAAUAUCUGAGCCUGUCCCUCGUUCCAGUCACUCAUUUUCUUCGUCGGUUGCCUUUGGAGUCCUACGCCGUCUGCUGCUGCCGUCUUCGGAGUCUUCUGUUAUCGUUUCUGGAGUAAUCAACGGUUUUUAACCUCUCUCCUUACCCAUCAGCCAAUAAAUUGGAAUUUCAUCUAGCAAAGUUGGAGUUUGAAGACCUUUCUUGGCCGUUGGUGAGUUUGGAGUCCUUCUGGCUUCUACUACUGCUUCUGUUCUGGCCUCUCGUUAAGUUUGGGUUUCUGAUUUAUUGUCGUCUUUGAUUUCAUUUUUGUUUUCUGAUUUAUUGACUUGCCUCUCUGUUGCUGUUCAAUGGUUUCUUGAAAACUCUCCUGUUGUGAGCGUUUGGUUGUUUUCGGCUGUUAUGCGUGAGGACUUCUCUUGAUAUACAGAUUAUCAUUAUGGGUCAAUGAUGAGAUUUUCAAUUUUUGGUGGGAGGAAAUGGCAAUUUUCCUUUUUCAAAGCUUAAGGUAACCGCCUGAAAACAGUUAUGGGUCAACAGCCAAGACCGUAAAAAUAAAGGCUCGAAUUAAGAAAUUUCCAAACAGGGAAAAAGUGGUAUCCCCACAAACACUCUGCCUUUAGCUUCCCUCUUCACAAGAAAAGCAAAGUUCUUUAUUCACUCCUUAACGCAAACUUCCCCUCAUUCAAUUCAAUUCACUUCAUCUUUCUUGUUUCUCUGCAAUAAUGGAUCGUUUCUUCACUCUCUAUGCCGCCUUUUUUACUCUUCUAUCGCUUUCUUCUCUAUCAGAUGUUGAAUCAGCUUCUUUCAAGCUUAUCAACAAGUGUCGCUACACGGUGUGGCCUGGUUUGCUAUCUGGCGCCGGCACUGCGCAGCUUCCCACCACGGGCUUUGCACUUAAAAGCGGCAAAUCGAAAACAGUAAACAUACCCAGAUCCUGGUCUGGUCGGAUAUGGGGUCGAACCGUCUGUACCCAAGAUUCAUCUGGUAAAUUUUCCUGUCUGACAGGCGAUUGUGGGUCAGGGAAGCUAGAAUGUGGCGGGAGUGGGGCUAUUCCUCCUGCUACCUUAGCAGAGUUCACGCUUAACGGCGCCGGAGGUUUGGAUUUUUAUGAUGUUAGCUUAGUCGACGGCUACAACCUCCCUAUGCUAGUGAUCCCCAAGAAAACCACAAACGGUCUCUGCGGCGCAACGGGGUGUUUGAUAGACCUAAACGGCGCGUGCCCGAAGGAAUUGAAAUUGGCAGCGCGUGCGAAUGGGCAAGUAGGAGCCGCUUGUAGGAGCGCGUGUGAGGCAUUUGGGGAACCGCAGUUUUGUUGCAGUGACGCCUAUUCUACUCCUGACACGUGCUCGCCAUCAGUUUACUCGGAAUUUUUUAAACACGCUUGCCCACGCGCAUAUAGCUACGCGUACGAUGAUAAGACAAGCACAUACACGUGUGCCAACACCGAUUAUGUUAUUAUAUUUUGUCCGCCACCAUAUUCCAGGUAAAAUUACUAAUUACCCUCAAGAGCUCCGUGUCUUUUUCUAUUCAUUAUGCAGAAUGUGGGAGGCUAGUGUAGUAAUUUCAAUAGUCAACAAGAUUGACAUGCUGGCAAGGUCCAGAAAUUUCGGGUGAUGCUUAAAGUAGAGAAUAAUUGAAGGGUGAUAAUGAUGGAUGAGGAACAAAAUUAAUUAUUGAAAGGUGACCCUCUUAAGUAACUAUAAAUAAUGAUGCUACACAAAUCUGCCACUAUGGAAUGAUAAUUCAAAGCGCAGAGACUUGUCAUGCUCAAGCUUUCUUACCAAUUAGCGAAAAAUUGUUAGGAAGACGAAAAGAUGGAGCGCAGCUUCCGCUGGUGAAUAAGACUAUGAUGUACAUAUCUAGCAAACACGCAAGCAGCGCGUCAUCCUCAGACAGAUAGUAGCACAAAUUGAAGCUGAAGAACAUAGUUAUCUUCCCUAAUGCAGUGCCACACGGCAUUGUUGACGGGUUGAGAGAUGAAGUGCUGCUGUGCAGAGUAGCAAUGUUUGAAGAAGCUUAUAAAAAAAAAAAACCGAAGAUUGUAUAUUCCUUCCUCUUCUAUAUCUUUGUUAGAUUUUGUUAUUGGGAAUAUAUGUCAUAUUGAUUUUUGGAAAUAAUGUAUUUCCAUUACGUGUAUUACAUCAACUUUAGUACAUAAUAUAGGUUUUGGCAAAACAAUUGCUAUUUCCA